CGAUCUAGCUAGAUCGUCUUUCUCUUUUCAACCUUCGACCUUGGUUUUCUUGGAACUGGCAGCUCUAUUCGCAUCAUGUCCGGGUCGUGCUGUAUAAAUAUUUCAUUUCAGAAACCGUGUGCCGCACACUGGCUAAGAUUGAACAUUUUCUCGAUUGAAAGGAUUAUAUUUUUAAUCAGUUACACAAUUGUAAAUAUCGAAAGUAAAUCUAUUUCCAAGCAUUGAAAAACAAAUGUGGCGAGAGUAUAGACGACUUCUGUUUUAUAUUCUAUCGUAUACUGGAUUAAGGCAGCAAUAAAUAUUCUCACUACUGGAUACACCGAUGAAUGUGUAUUUCUCUUUCUCGGAUUAAUACAGAGACUUGAUAGAUGAUUAAGAUUACUUAUGUGCAUUCAAUGAUCCAUUAUUAGGGAGAAUGAUUAUUAUAAGUCUUCAGAAGGAGACAUCAAAACGUAGUCAAGGUGUCCUGCCAGCUGACCUGCAAGCUGACCUGCAAGAAGACCUGUAAACUGACCUGCAAGAUGAUCUGCAAGAUGACCUGCAAGCUGACAGUAGAUAUCAUUUCGGCCACCUGAUUCCAAUAUCUGGUUGAUGAAACUUUUAGCCCAGAAUCUGAUCAAUUUGGCAUGAGCGUUUGUUGUAUCGGAGAGAGUUUGCAGAUGUCAUCGGCUAAACCGAAGUCUUCCAAGCUAGACUGUUUCUUCUACUUCAAAUACGGAUAGUCGAAGAGUUAACUCUUUCUCUCCUGGCUAACGAUACCAAUAUUGAUUCCACCAGAAUGUGGUAAAUAAUUACGGAGAAAAAGAGUUAAGAGGUAUAUACUUGGAACUAGAAGGAAAGCUGCCCUUCCAAUUUCAGCAAAGUGUAACAAUGCAAGAGUUAAGCUCAAGUAUAAUUCCAAGGUGUUGUUACCGGUCGUCGACUUGUAGCACCAAACUGCUGGUAGACAAUUAAACCGUUGUAGGCGUUAUAUAUUUUAACUAAUAGAACUUCAAAUAACUUGAGUAACUUCCCUUUGUAGAACAAAACACGCUAUUUAUAAUAUAAACAAAAUCAAGUUAAUGUGAAAUCAAAUUAAUGUACUUACUUAGACUUAGUUCCUUCCGUGCCGUUCGGCGCAUUGGGCAGCAAGCUGUCUCCACAAAGAUCUGUCACUGGCAAUGUCUGAAGCUCUUCCCACCUGGUGUCCACUGUUCUGAGGUCCUCCAUAAAGGUGUGGCGCCAGGUUAUACGAGGACGUCCCUGUUUGCGCUUCCUCGUAUUGGCCUCCAUGUCAUCGCAACUCUUGGUGUGCGAUCUUGUACUAGACUUUAGUAAUAAAUUUUUUUAACAAAAUCUACCCCUCUACAGUAUCACAACCUUUCAGUCCUACGUUGUCGAGUCGUCUCCCCUAAGAUCAAGUGAGAAAAGUGCUACUUAUGUUGCAUCAUACAAAAACAAUCCAUAAACAAUCGCUAAUCUCUUCCCACCGUCACCAUUUAAACACACACACACUUCAUAACACAAGGCCGAAAUAAAAUACGCCCUCCUCCCCCCUUUAAACUAAAGUACCUCACCCUUCCCUUUCCCCAACUUAUGUUAUUAGUUUGGCAAUUUGAACAUUAGACAUAAACAUACAUUUAAAAAAAAAAUAAAUGCUGUUAGUUAGAUCAUUACUUAUAUUAAACAUAAAUAAUUAGCAGCACCAGGGACUAAAAUUGUAAGAGAGAUAGUAGUGAAUUAAAUGCUACGAAAAUAAUGGACUGCGCCGACCGAGGCUCGAACCAGUGACCCUGGAAACGACAACACCGCCUAGCGGUAACGCACUAAGCUAACUUAACCUCUAGACCAUCGGAAUGUCCAAAAAACAUUCUUCUUGGUCGGCGCAGUCUCUUAUUUUCGUAGCCUUUAAGUUGGCUUGAAGGUAUUUACGAGGUCAGUUAUUAUCCCCUCGGCUGAUAUAACAAUGGGGUAUAUUGCUAUUUUGGAUAUCUUCCAUAAACGCUUAAUCUCCAAGCCUAGGUUCCCAUAUUUUCUUUGUUUUUCUGUUUCAGUUUUUCUUAAAUUAUGAGACAGUGGUACGGCUAUUAUUAUUAUUAAACAUUUCUUUAUCAAUUAAAAUGCAUAUGAAAUAACUAUACAAAAUUAUCGAUUAUUAUGCUUGU
Biomphalaria glabrata is the source of this 2144-nucleotide long non-coding RNA. RefSeq lists it as uncharacterized. The record is from RefSeq and is a predicted model, not a curated record. The transcript is spliced from 3 exons. Lineage: Eukaryota; Metazoa; Mollusca; Gastropoda; Planorbidae.